This 329-nucleotide ribosomal RNA is filed under the name uncultured eukaryote. RNAcentral describes it as "partial 18S ribosomal RNA". It matches the Rfam family "Eukaryotic small subunit ribosomal RNA", at positions 1470 to 1796 of the family's 1831-position model. The record is from RNAcentral.
CCCUUAGAUGUCCUGGGCUGCACGCGCGCUACACUGAUGUGUCCAGUAAGCACCUAACCUAUUCCGAGAGGAGCGGGUAACCUUAGCAAAGCACAUCGUGAUGGGGAUAGAUUAUUGCAAUUAUUAGUCUUGAACGAGGAAUGCCUAGUAAGCGCAAGUCAUCAGCUUGCGUUGAUUACGUCCCUGCCCUUUGUACACACCGCCCGUCGCUCCUACCGAUUGAAUGGUCCGGUGAAGCGCUCGGACCGCGGCCUCUUGACGGUUUUCCGUCGAUUGGCUGUGGGAAGUUCGUUAAACCUUAUCAUUUAGAGGAAGGAGAAGUCGUAACA